AGAAGUUUAGGUUAAGCCAGACCGAGAGCCUUCAAAGCUCUAAGCAAGCCUCACAGACUUAACUUCUG
This 68-nucleotide transfer RNA is filed under the name Prionailurus bengalensis (leopard cat). RNAcentral's name for it is "tRNA-Trp". RNAcentral also lists the same sequence under 3 other names. The record is from RNAcentral. Lineage: Eukaryota; Metazoa; Chordata; Mammalia; Carnivora; Felidae.